UAGGGAAUCUUCCACAAUGGACGCAAGUCUGAUGGAGCAACGGCCGCGUGAGUGAAGAAGGUUUUCGGACCGUAAAGCUCUGUUGUUGGUGAAGAAGGAUAGGGGUAGUAACUGGCCUUUAUUUGACGGUAAUCAACCAGAAAGUCACGGCUAACUACGUGCCAGCAGCCGCGGUAAUACGUAGGUGGCAAGCGUUGUCCGGAUUUAUUGGGCGUAAAGCGAGCGCAGGCGGAAGAAUAAGUCUGAUGUGAAAGCCCUCGGCUUAACCGAGGAAUUGCAUCGGAAACUGUUUUUCUUGAGUGCAGAAGAGGAGAGUAGAACUCCAUGUGUAGCGGUGGAAUGCGUAGAUAUAUGGAAGAAUACCAGUGGCGAAGGCGGCUCUCUGGUCUGCAACUGACGCUGAGGCUCGAAAGCAUGGGUAGCGAACAGGAUUAGAUACCCUGGUAGUCCAUGCCGUAAACGAUGAGUGCUAAGUGUUGGGAGGCUUCCGCCUCUCAGUGCUGCAGCUAACGCAUUAAGCACUCCGCCUGGGGGAGUACGACCGCAAGGUUGAA
RNAcentral lists this ribosomal RNA (554 nucleotides) under uncultured bacterium. RNAcentral describes it as "partial 16S ribosomal RNA". It matches the Rfam family "Bacterial small subunit ribosomal RNA", at positions 355 to 898 of the family's 1533-position model. The record is from RNAcentral.